GUCCCGCCCCGCCGCCCCUCGAGCGCCCCCGACUUCGCUUCUGGCCGGAACCUGCGCCCCGAACCAGGAAGCACCUGGCGGCGGGCGCGGGAUGGCUGGGCCCGGCUGGGGUCUUCCUCGGCUGGACGGUUUCAUCCUUACCGAGCGCCUGGGUAGUGGCACGUACGCCACGGUGUACAAGGCCUACGCCAAGAAGGAUACUCGGGAGGUGGUAGCCAUAAAAUGCGUGGCCAAGAAAAGUCUCAACAAGGCAUCUGUGGAAAACCUCCUGACUGAGAUUGAGAUCCUCAAGGGCAUCCGGCACCCCCAUAUUGUGCAGCUGAAAGACUUCCAGUGGGACAAUGACAAUAUCUACCUCAUCAUGGAGUUCUGCGCAGGGGGUGACCUCUCUCGCUUCAUCCACACCCGCAGGAUCCUGCCUGAGAAGGUGGCUCGUGUUUUCAUGCAACAGCUGGCUAGUGCCCUGAAGUUCCUGCAUGAACGAAACAUCUCUCAUCUGGAUCUGAAGCCCCAGAACAUUCUGCUGAGCUCUUUGGAGAAGCCCCAUCUAAAACUGGCAGACUUUGGCUUUGCACAGCACAUGUCCCCACGAGACGAGAAGCAUGUGCUGCGUGGCUCCCCACUCUACAUGGCUCCUGAGAUGGUGUGUCAACGGCAGUAUGAUGCUCGUGUGGACCUCUGGUCUGUGGGGGUCAUCCUGUAUGAAGCCCUCUUUGGACAGCCUCCUUUUGCCUCCAGAUCGUUCUCAGAGCUAGAAGAAAAGAUUCGCAGCAAUCGGGUUAUUGAGCUCCCCCUUCGGCCCCAACUCUCCCUAGACUGCCGUGACCUGCUGCAGCGACUUCUAGAACGGGAUCCCAGCCGUCGAAUCUCCUUCAAGGACUUCUUUGCACACCCCUGGGUGGACCUGGAGCACAUGCCCAGUGGGGAGAGCCUGGCGCGAGCAACAGCCCUUGUGGUGGAGGCUGUGAAGAAGGACCAGGAGGGGGACGCUGCCACAGCGCUGUCACUCUACUGCAAGGCUCUGGACUUCUUUGUACCUGCCCUGCACUACGAAGUGGAUGCCCAGCGGAAGGAGGCCAUUAAGGCCAAGGUGAGGCAGUAUGUGUCGCGGGCAGAGGAGCUCAAAGCCAUCGUCUCCUCCUCCAGCCAGGCCCUGCUAAGGCAGGGCACAUCUGUCCAAGGCCUGCUGCGAGAGAUGGCCCGUGACAAGCCUCGCCUCCUUGCUGCCCUGGAAGUGGCCUCAGCUGCCAUGGCCAAGGAGGAAGCUGGCAAGGAGCAGGAUGCCCUUGACCUGUACCAGCACAGCCUCGGGGAGCUGCUACUGCUGUUGGCAGGUAAGCAGAAGCCCAGGGCCGAAGGCGGGAACUUCUUCACACUGAGGUUCAGAGCCUCAUGGCUCGAGCUGAAUACCUGAAAGAGCAGAUCAAGAUAAGGGAAUCUCACUGGGAUGCAGCGACUCUGGACAAAGAGGGACUGUCGGAGUCUGUCCGUAGCUCUUGCACACUACAAUGACACCAGAAGGACUAGUGGAUGGGACACAAGCCUGAGAGAAGCCGUUUACCAGCCCAGUUCACACCCAUGCACCUGAGGCCUUCCUGGAUGAACACCUUCAAGAUGCCCUCAUCCUAGUUCCCAGUGUUCAUCUGAGUGCUCUCCACCCCUGGGGAUCUGGUAGCCAGGUGUACUGAACUCUGGGAGGAUUACCUUAAUAUGACAUUGUUAUUAGGUGACUGUUGGCCUCAGGAUAUCAUCACACUGUAUUCUGCUCUGCAAAGAGGACAUCAUGCCUCUUGAGGGCACCUCUCUUCUUUCCCUGCUACCAGGCAGCUGCCGUACCUGGGCCAACCCUUCCUGGGAACCUUUUUUCUAGCCCUGCUUCCUUCUUUCACUGGAACGGGACCCUCCAGUACCCCUCAGGGACUACCUACCCGACAGAAUUCAAUCAGCCCUGCAGAACUCUCCAGUCUUUCCGGGAGCACACGCCUGCCGUUCUUUUCAGUACUUUAAGACAAUCCUUUAUGCAUGAAAGUCAUGUUCUUUGUAGAGGUGGGGUACAUGUGAGAAUUCCAGGCCUAUCCCUGCCUUGGCAUAGAGGAGGGGGUCCUUAAGGGGAACAUGCCACACUGGCCAUCUAGUGGGCCCUGUGCUAGAGCUGGGGGUUGACUGGGCCAGGGUCUUCUCUUUUGUCCUGUUAAGCCAUGGAUACCUCCACAGUUUAUAGCUUAUGUGAGCUGGAGAUGAAUUUACAUACCUGGAAUUAUUAGAGGGUUUCUUUUUAUUGCCCCCCCAAAUCAUCUUGUUUCAAAUUUUUGUGUUGAAGGCUGAUUUUGAAUAAGGAACAGGGGAGCUGUUCUGCAUCAAAUAACCCCAAAUCACAAGCAAUGAGAGUUUCUUUUUUUAUUUGUGUGGGAGGAACAGGGGUUAUUUCUAAAGUCAGAAUGUUGGUGAUUUCUAAUCAUUCUGCCCUUAACUGCCUCCGUAGGGCAAAGUGGAGCAUCUUCCUUGCCAGAGGCUGGGUGUAUGUAAAGAAUGCAGUUCAUUGUUUCUCUAUUAAAUUAUUUUUUGUACUUA
RNA transcript from Chionomys nivalis (European snow vole), 2571 nucleotides. It is a transcript of the gene named unc-51 like kinase 3, with no coding region annotated. Lineage: Eukaryota; Metazoa; Chordata; Mammalia; Rodentia; Cricetidae. The record is from RefSeq and is a predicted model, not a curated record. The transcript is spliced from 16 exons.